Molecule: transfer RNA, 73 nt
Filed under: Actinomycetes bacterium
Lineage: Bacteria; Bacillati; Actinomycetota; Actinomycetes
Also listed under: 1 other name
Description: Actinobacteria bacterium tRNA-Ala
Rfam family: tRNA
About the family: Transfer RNA (tRNA) molecules are approximately 80 nucleotides in length. Their secondary structure includes four short double-helical elements and three loops (D, anti-codon, and T loops). Further hydrogen bonds mediate the characteristic L-shaped molecular structure. tRNAs have two regions of fundamental functional importance: the anti-codon, which is responsible for specific mRNA codon recognition, and the 3' end, to which the tRNAs corresponding amino acid is attached (by aminoacyl-tRNA synthetases). tRNAs cope with the degeneracy of the genetic code in two manners: having more than one tRNA (with a specific anti-codon) for a particular amino acid; and 'wobble' base-pairing, i.e. permitting non-standard base-pairing at the 3rd anti-codon position.
Source: RNAcentral
GGGCCUGUAGCUCAGUUGGUAGAGCGCUUGCUCGGCAGGCAAGAGGUCGCCGGUUCGAAUCCGGUCAGGUCCA